AAAUGCAGAAAUGCACCUAAAUAUUCUCAUAUAGAUCUCAUUGAUAAAACAUUAGCAGAAGGCACUGAGCGAGUCAUGGAUAAAGAAGGACGAUGCUUCUCCUCUCCGAUAAAAGAUUGGAUCAGCCCAACAAGACGGACCAUAUCUUACUGGAAUUUGUUAAUCUUCCUUGGUGAAAUUGCUAAGAAAAGAGUAUUUUGACCGUGGUUGUCUCAGAAACUCUCCUGGAAAAUGUUGGUUGAUGCUCUCAGUCAACCUUCAAUUGGAUUGUCCCAGAAAGAAAAGCAAGUCUCACAAGAACACAACGUAACUCUACAAGAGAAAUCCUCAAAAGCAAUUCAUUUGUCUGUCCUGGCAAGGACUUUCUCCAAUCGUUUGCUGCCAUCAUUGGCUCUCGAUGGCAGUGUCUUGCUUCUCCCCUCUCCCUCACUUCUGAAGACAUUGUGAGCAUCAAGAGAGAGACAAGAGGAGCAGAGCCGACCAAACAAGCACUCGUCAUACUGCAGAAGUGCAUGGGAAACCAGACAGACGGCAACUUAUGAUCAUGCAGUUCAUAUAUCUGAGAACUUUAGUAUCAGGACAAGUAAAUGUACCUGUAGCUACGUUCAAUUGCACCUGUAUAACUAUUGUUAUAUGUCACCAUGUUUGUGUCUUAGAACUUCAGAAUUUAUAUGGUAUUACCUUGUCAAUUAAAUUAUAAUUAUUUUCAAUACACCAUGCAUGCAUGCAUAGCUAUUUAUAUACCGCAAUUAUUUAUAGUAUCAUUUGGUUACCUCAAUUCUUAUCAGUCAUUGUUUCCCCAACCAAUUUUUGUACUAGAUCUAG
Long non-coding RNA from Halichondria panicea, 825 nucleotides. RefSeq lists it as uncharacterized. The transcript is spliced from 3 exons. Lineage: Eukaryota; Metazoa; Porifera; Demospongiae; Suberitida; Halichondriidae. The record is from RefSeq and is a predicted model, not a curated record.